Long non-coding RNA from Bos taurus (domestic cattle), 3232 nucleotides. Lineage: Eukaryota; Metazoa; Chordata; Mammalia; Artiodactyla; Bovidae. The record is from Ensembl.
CUGUGGGAGUGAGGUGAGGGGUGGGCAAGGUCAGAGAUGAGGAAGAAAGGUGCUGCCAUGUGGACAAAACCCAAGAAGGGGAGGGUGUCCUGGCCUUGGGUGGGGUGGGGGAGGGGCUGGACUUCAGCCAGGCCCGCCCUGGACUGGACAGGGCUCCUCCUGCAGGCAGCUGGGGGCCUUGUCCCUGCAGAGCUGACUUUGGCUACAGACACCUCAUUCAGGUUUGAGCCACAGGGCUGGGAGUGAGGUUAGAGGCUCACCCUGGGUUCUCCUGGCCACCCCAGCUCCACGGCUGGAGGGAAACCCCAGAAGCCUGUCCAGCCCGGCCAGCUCUCCCAGGCUGUGUGCCCUGGGUCAUCGACUUCCAUACACCCUGCCCUGGCCUGAGGGCCUGAACUAGGUCUCUACCCCAUGAUGGGAGCUAAACGCCUGCUAAUUCUGAUGGCCCUUGGCUGACAUGGGGCCUUAAUUACAGGGUAGAAGGGCUGGGGGCUGCCAACAGGGUCAGGGUCCCUAGGGGAUGGUUGCACGUGUGGCCCUGAAGGGGAAGCUUUUCUCCAUGGGCCUGGUGGGGAUAGAGGAAGUACAGCUUUACCAGGAGGGCUAUCAACCGCCUCUUCUGACCCCACUUUCAGGAUUCCAUGUGGGACAAGGCCUGUGGCAAAGGCCGUUUCAGAGGAGGGAGGCCCAUAGUACAGGCACCCCUACUAGAGGCCUGGGGGCUGCAGGGCUGCGGACAUCACUUUACAAGAGGGAAGAAGUCUGAUCCUUCAAAGGGAGCAAACACACAUAUUUCCUGCCACAGGAGACUUCCCCGGUGGUCCAGUGGUUAACAAUCCACCUUGCAACACAGGGGACGUGGGUUCAAUCCCUGGUGGGAGAACUAAUAUCCCACGUGCCAUGGAGCAAUUAAGCUGUGCAUCACAACUGCUGAGCCCGCACAUGGAACAUCCUGCAUGAGGAAAUGAAGACCCUUAGUGCCGCAACUCAGACCCAACGCAGCCAAAUACAUAAAUUUCCUGCCACAGGGAGACCCAGGAAAGUCAGCAGGUCAUUCUCCUGGGUGGAGGCCUCUCAGUGUCCCCUCAGCCUCUGUGCCCUGCACUCAGCCCAAAGUCAACUCGGAGCAGAUCUCAGGAAAGUGGGGGAUGGACAAACAGAUGGAUGAUGGAUGGAGAGACAGACAGACAGAUGCCUAGUGAGGUCUCCCCCAGGAGAGGAGCCUGGUGGCUGUGCGCUCUGGGGUGGCCAGGCCAGUGGGCAGUCUCUGCAGCUGUCCUUACAGGAUGCCUGCUCGCACUAGAGGUUGGAAGGCUUUUCAUUGACGUGGUAGAGAGGAAAUGGGUCAAAUCCACCAAUGAAAUCAACUGAAAGAAACCAAGACCCAAAUAAACAACCCAAAUGAUGGACAGGAUGGCAGAGCAGAGAAGUUCCCGAAUGCAAACACUCAGGUGAUGACACCGCAGCAGGAGCGGCCCAGACUGGAGGGUGGGGUUCCCACUUGGCGAAGGGUUUCACAGGACACUGGCCUCUCAGCAGGGGGUUGCCCCUUGCCCUGCUGGGCUCCCCUAGUCCUGGUGCCUCAAAGCUGUGACUGCACGGAGUGUGGGCGGCCAGGGCCUGCUGGGCCAAGCUGAACCCCAGGGCUGUCGCCUGACCGAAAAUAUUUUACUGUAACCAAUACAGGAAGCUCCUUCUGUUUCCUCCCAGUUGGCUGUGGGCUGAGCGAUUGUUUUGGGCCACCCAACACCAAGGGGCAGGGUACCUGGAGGCUGGUCCCUGAGCGAAUCUGGUUUCUGAGGACACUCGGCCCGCCAACUUCACAGCCACUCCCUCCUGACCUCUAGGGACAGAGGCUCUGAAUUGUGCUUCAGAUCCAGAGAAGUUUCUGCCCAUAGGAGCCCUGGGCCCCCUGGGUACACCCAGCCCCUCUCAUCCUUGUGAGAACCCGUCAGAGCCUGGGGUGGUCAGGUCAGCAAGAACACCUGAGUGUUCAUGAUGCAAAUCAGAGGAAAGUCGAGAGCAUUCUCAGAUGGGGGAUGUGCCUGCACUCCUCAAAUGUGUCCCCCCAGCACUAGGGCCUGAAGUGGGGCCAGCUGCCCUCUGCAAGGGGGAGUGAGAGGGCUUUUCCUCUGCUGGUCAGGGCUCAGCCUUCUGCCUGCAACAACUGUAGGGAUUGCAGGGCCAGCCCUGCAGCACAGAAACCCUCAGACCAGGGGAACUUGGGGUGUGCUGACCCCUGGUGCCCACAGCCCCAGACCUCCCCAUCUCUGCGUAGGCCAGAACCUCCAGGGCUUGGGGACUCUUUUAAGAGGCCAGCUCUCAGGCCUCUGUGGCCAGUCUGCAGCCUCUCUUCUCCUCCUCCACUGCCUGGCGGGGCCAGCAGGUCAGUAAUGGGAUUCUGCAGGAGGCUAGUGGUCACACACUUGCAGCUGUCCUCCUCCUUGGUGAUCACACUGACCACAUGGUAGGCACAGAUGAAGCCCAUGAGCUGAAAGACAUGGGGAGGUCCCUCAGACUGAAGCCCUGGGAGAUGUAUUCACAUCUUCGUGGGGCAUGGACCUCAGUGCAUCCUAACCAUGUGGCCACUGCCCACUGGCCUCCUCCUCCAUGUGGUCUGUAACUCGGAACAAGCAGGGUGAUAUGCCAGCCUCCUCAGCUCUCCUCAGCUCUGGAGUUCCAGAUGGUGUCCAUUCCCUAGCGGAGCCGGCACAUGCAUCCCUGUGGGUGAGGGCUGAGAGGGGCGAGGGCGGUCAGUGGAUGAGUGAGUCAGGAAAGUGAUCAAGCCCCUGCUUGAACGAGGAGUAAGAUGCAGGGAGAUGACUUGGGAGGCACAUGGCCACAGCCAGGAUGUCCCCUGGGUUGACUCCCUGUUAUAGCCAGGCCAUCCUCCCUGGGGCCUCUCACUGUAAGCAGACAACUACUGGAUUUCUUCCCCCUGGAAAGCCGCAGUAGAGAAGCUUCAAGUCAGCCAAGUUCACAGUCCGCACAACAGCACAGGGGAGACAGACUGAGGACUUGGUGCAGCAGGCAAUUCUGGGCAGAGUGGGUGGGGCAGGCUGCUGCCCUGCAGGGUGCUGUGCAGGGCCUCCAUGUGGCCAUACUCCAGGAUGGCUGUCUGUCCAGAGGACCCAGGCCAGCCGCUGGUUCCUUGUGCACACAGCCCAGGCCAUGCUCAUACUACCAGGACGGCUGCCAGGAGAGGUUGAGGUCAGGAAGUCACUCACCUCCU